AACUUCUCUGAUAUCUGAUAUCUGAUGAAGAUCACUUCUUUUGAUCAAGCUAUGCUGAUGAUUCUUCAACUUCACAUAUCAGUGGAUCUGCAUAAUGACGUCCAAAGUGAAUUCUAAUCAGAAAAUAAAAGGCCAAGGAAGUCCAGUAUGCAUUGAACUAAAUGAAGCGGCUGUUGGACGGAUGUAGUGGCAAUCCACACCACGGCGGUCCUGCUGACAUACUGGGAACUAGAACCUGUCAGGCCCCACGGCUUCCACUGAUGCAGAGCAAGGACAGGCAUGCUCUUUCCUCCAGCCUUGCAGCCCCAAAGCCCACAAACCUAAGGCAUGGCUUCUCUGACCUGGCAGAUUUCUGACUCUCCAUCAGGUAGCCAGGGCGUCUCAUUAUAUCUCUGACCUCCAGUUUUUGUAAUGUUUGGUUACAUGUCUAAAGUAAAGUUCCUCAGCAUCUUACACUGAGACUGAGUCAUGGGGUUUUGCUUUGUUUUAUGCAAAGAGCACUUUGGUGGGCUGUGG
Long non-coding RNA from Bos taurus (domestic cattle), 516 nucleotides. Lineage: Eukaryota; Metazoa; Chordata; Mammalia; Artiodactyla; Bovidae. The record is from Ensembl.